GUUACUGCUCUUGGUAUGGUUGGCAAAGCUUGGAUUGCUCAAAUGCGGAGUUUGAACAGGCGAAUUUAGCUUGAGACCCGCCCUUUGUUGCUUAUUCGGGUAACGAUUUGUAUAAUGUUCAUUCCAGUUACUAUGCAACAUCCUUCAUUACCAGUCCUGGAGAGUUUCCCAUGGUUCUUGUUCCACUUUGGGUAGGGUGGAGUCCCAUACUUGUUAUCCCCCAUCUGUUUUGAGGUGUCAUAGCCACGUUGCUGGGACGUCUGCCCCUGCCAUGACCCUUUUCUUAGCUUGGCCAGGGUUACUAUAUCCCAUUCUCUUUUUCUUUCUCAAAAGUUUUUUUUUUUUUUUUUUUUUUUUUUUUUU
RNAcentral lists this long non-coding RNA (363 nucleotides) under Salvia miltiorrhiza (redroot sage). RNAcentral's name for it is "long non-coding RNA (SMIL_LNC011193)". Lineage: Eukaryota; Viridiplantae; Streptophyta; Magnoliopsida; Lamiales; Lamiaceae. The record is from RNAcentral.